This 265-nucleotide ribosomal RNA is filed under the name uncultured bacterium. RNAcentral's name for it is "partial 16S ribosomal RNA". It matches the Rfam family "Bacterial small subunit ribosomal RNA", at positions 355 to 636 of the family's 1533-position model. The record is from RNAcentral.
CAGGGAAUCUUGCGCAAUGGACGGCAGUCCGACGCAGCGACGCCGCGUGGGUGAAGACGGCCUUCGGGUUGUAAAGCCCUUUUCUGGGGGAAGAGAUAGGACGGUACUCCAGGAAUAAGUGUCGGCUAACUACGUGCCAGCAGCCGCGGUAAUACGUAGGACACGAGCGUUAUCCGGAUUUACUGGGCGUAAAGCGCCUGUAGGCGGUUCUUCAAGUCGUUUGUGAAAGCCCUGGGCUCAACUCGGGGAGGCCAAGCGAUACUGG